This 839-nucleotide small RNA is filed under the name Oryza sativa Japonica Group (Japanese rice). RNAcentral describes it as "misc RNA Os11g0152600". The record is from RNAcentral. Lineage: Eukaryota; Viridiplantae; Streptophyta; Magnoliopsida; Poales; Poaceae.
GAGAUGCAAUGACAUAAUUCUGUUAAACAACAAACAGCAAGCUUUCCCUCAGUCUUAUUCCUUACCACAAUGCUCACACACAAUUUUAGAUAUGAUCCUAAAUUCUUGCCGGUUUUCCUAGACAUGGCUCCUGCUCAAACUUAUUUCAUACUAGCCUUUCAUUUCAAACUAUAUUAUUUUAUUCUUUCUGCAACUAGUUCUGUGGUACGAUUGAAGCAGGGAUUUCAUUUACCUUUGCAUCUUGUAUCCUGACAGCUUUUUGCUGGAGUGGGUGAUGGUAGUACAGUACGGCUUCUUCAUGCGUGAAGAACUCCUGUGAAGGACUGAAACUCUGCAAAGGACGAGGCUUAGUGGAGGGGGGUUGGAUCGGAGGCGUGCGACUGAUGCCAGAAAUUCUGAUCGAGUCAGAUGAUCAUAUUACUAGUAUAGCUGGCUAAACAGACGAACAGUACAGUGUUUUCGCGUCCAUGAUCUUUGAUCGAUGAGAGCAAUAGCAUCAUCGUGUUCUUCGCCGGCACGUGGUAAUGGGCAGAAUCUCCUGAAAAAGUUGCCAUGCUCAUGCACAGGUAAGAAUAGGAUUGAAAGGAAUUCACAGUGGAAAAGAGUGUUUUUGAGCCAUGUGAUGUGUUUGUUCUCCCCUUUCCAGCUUGGUUUACACCUGUGGUGAAUGAAUGUUCGAUAGCAGUAUUACCAUCAUGCAAGUUCCAUUGAAAGAAAUCACCCAAGAACCCGGACAGAACAUUCAUAAUGCUCAAGAACAGCCCUGGUGCCUGAAUUCUUGAUUCAUACGCCUAUUUGAAGUUUUUCGGAUUCUCGUAGAAUUUAAGUUGUUUGCUUUG